Long non-coding RNA from Myotis brandtii (Brandt's bat), 433 nucleotides. RefSeq lists it as uncharacterized. Lineage: Eukaryota; Metazoa; Chordata; Mammalia; Chiroptera; Vespertilionidae. The record is from RefSeq and is a predicted model, not a curated record. The transcript has 3 exons.
UGCCCGGCGCGGUUCGGGUUCGUUGGGCUCCCACCUUGCAGCACGACGGCCGUCUUCCACCCGCUCCUCUUCAGAGUUCCCAACUUUUUUGAUGGAUUUAUAAAAUAUUGAUAGAGACGAAGCCGCGAUUCAAGGCUGGUGUGUCAGAGGCCCUUUACGAAAAUGGUGGAGAGUUAUUGCAGAACAACGGAUUUGGGGCGAACCAUGAUAGGCGUUAUGUAGCUGUGGCUGUUGCUACCCUACGCAGUACCUUUGUGGAAUUAAAAAGGCACCAGACCCUCAGGGAGACGCAACGGACAGAUACUGCCACUCCAGGGCACGUCUGUUGUGACAUCCUCUUCAGAGUGGCAGAAACCAUAUGGUCCAAAAGCCUGAAAUACUUACUAUCUGACCCUUCACAGAAAUGGAAGAAGGCUGACCCCUGCUCUAGGCA